AUUGAACGCUGGCGGCAGGCCUAACACAUGCAAGUCGAGCGGAUGAAGGGAGCUUGCUCCUGGAUUCAGCGGCGGACGGGUGAGUAAUGCCUAGGAAUCUGCCUGGCAGUGGGGGAUAACGUCCGGAAACGGGCGCUAAUACCGCAUACGGCCUGAGGGAGAAAGUGGGGGAUCUUCGGACCUCACGCUAUCAGAUGAGCCUAGGUCGGAUUAGCUAGUUGGUGGGGUAAAGGCCUACCAAGGCGACGAUCCGUAACUGGUCUGAGAGGAUGAUCAGUCACACUGGAACUGAGACACGGUCCAGACUCCUACGGGAGGCAGCAGUGGGGAAUAUUGGACAAUGGGCGAAAGCCUGAUCCAGCCAUGCCGCGUGUGUGAAGAAGGUCUUCGGAUUGUAAAGCACUUUAAGUUGGGAUGAAGGGCAGUAAGUUAAUACCUUGCUUUUUUGACGGUACCAACAGAAUAAGCACCGGCUAACUUCGUG
RNAcentral lists this ribosomal RNA (484 nucleotides) under uncultured bacterium. RNAcentral describes it as "partial 16S ribosomal RNA". It matches the Rfam family "Bacterial small subunit ribosomal RNA", at positions 30 to 507 of the family's 1533-position model. The record is from RNAcentral.